ACUGAACGCUGGCAGCGGGCCUAACACAUGCAAGUCGAACGAGUGGCGCACGUGUGAGAAAUGUAUGUGAAACUGCCAGAGGGCGGGGGUUAACUACUGGAACAGGUAGCUAAGACCGAUGAGCAUUGGCUUGGACCACAGGGGAUUAGCAAGUAGGUGGGGUAAUGGCUAACCUAUGCUACGAUACCUAGCUGGUCUGAGUGGAGGACCGGCCACACUGGAACUGAGACACGGUCCAGACUCCUACGGGAGGCAGCAGUGGGGAAUAUUGCUCAAUGGGCGCAAGUCUGAUGCAGCCAUGCCGCGUGUAUGAAGAAGGCCUUCGGGUUGUAAAGUACUUUCAGCGAGUAGGCGUUACUCGCAGAAGAAGCACCGGCUAACUCCGUGCCAGCAGCCGCGGUAAUUC
RNAcentral lists this ribosomal RNA (406 nucleotides) under uncultured bacterium. Its description in RNAcentral is "partial 16S ribosomal RNA". It matches the Rfam family "Bacterial small subunit ribosomal RNA", at positions 30 to 526 of the family's 1533-position model. The record is from RNAcentral.